ACUAGUGAUUAGAGUUUGAUCCUGGCUCAGGAUGAACGCUAGCGGCAGGCUUAACACAUGCAAGUCGAACGGUAACAGAAAAAGCUUGCUUUUUGCUGACGAGUGGCGAACGGGUGCGUAACGCGUAUGCAACCUACCUUUUUCAGAGGAAUAGCCCAGAGAAAUUUGGAUUAAUACCUCAUAAUAAUAUUUUUUCGCAUGUUAAAAUAUUUAAAGCUUCGGCGGUAAAAGAUGGGCAUGCGUAACAUUAGUUUGUUGGUGAGGUAAUGGCUCACCAAGACUACGAUGUUUAGGGGGUCUGAGAGGAUGAUCCCCCACACUGGUACUGAGACACGGACCAGACUCCUACGGGAGGCAGCAGUGAGGAAUAUUGGUCAAUGGACGAAAGUCUGAACCAGCCAUGCCGCGUGAAGGAUGACUGCCCUAUGGGUUGUAAACUUCUUUUGUAUAGGAAGAAACCCCUCUACGUGUAGAGGGCUGACGGUACUAUUCGAAUAAGCACCGGCUAACUCCGUGCCAGCAGCCGCGGUAAUACGGAGGGUGCGAGCGUUAUCCGGAAUUAUUGGGUUUAAAGGGUGCGUAGGCGGAAAUUUAAGUCAGUGGUGAAAGCCUACAGCUUAACUGUAGAAUUGCCAUUGAAACUGAAUUUCUUGAAUCUAAUUGAAGUAGGCGGAAUAUGACAUGUAGCGGUGAAAUGCUUAGAUAUGUCAUAGAACACCGAUAGCGAAGGCAGCUUACUAAGUUAGUAUUGACGCUAAUGCACGAAAGCGUGGGGAGCGAACAGGAUUAGAUACCCUGGUAGUCCACGCCGUAAACGAUGAUUACUCGCUAUUGGCGAUAUACUGUCAGUGGCUAAGCGAAAGUGAUAAGUAAUCCACCUGGGGAGUACGAUCGCAAGGUUGAAACUCAAAGGAAUUGACGGGGGCCCGCACAAGCGGUGGAGCAUGUGGUUUAAUUCGAUGAUACGCGAGGAACCUUACCAGGUCUUAAAUGCAUAACGAACAGUUGGGAAACCAACCUUUCUUCGGACGGAAUGCAAGGUGCUGCAUGGUUGUCGUCAGCUCGUGCCGUGAGGUGUCAGGUUAAGUCCUAUAACGAGCGCAACCCCUAUUCUUAGUUGCCAGCGGUUCGGCCGGGGACUCUAAGAAAACUGCCAGUGCAAGCUGUGAGGAAGGUGGGGAUGACGUCAAAUCAUCACGGCCCUUACGACCUGGGCCACACACGUGCUACAAUGGUAGGUACAAAGGGCAGCCACUUGGCGACAAGGAGCUAAUCUCUAAAACCUAUCUCAGUUCGGAUUGGAGUCUGAAACUCGACUCUAUGAAGCUGGAAUCGCUAGUAAUCGCGCAUCAGCCAUGGCGCGGUGAAUACGUUCCCGGGCCUUGUACACACCGCCCGUCAAGCCAUGGAAGCUGGGAGUACCUGAAGUCGGUAACCAUAUAGGAGCUGCCUAGGGUAAAACUAGUAACUGGGGCUAAGUCGUAACAAGGU
This 1491-nucleotide ribosomal RNA is filed under the name uncultured Flavobacteriia bacterium. Its description in RNAcentral is "bacterial SSU rRNA". It matches the Rfam family "Bacterial small subunit ribosomal RNA". Lineage: Bacteria; Pseudomonadati; Bacteroidota; Flavobacteriia. The record is from RNAcentral.